AUAUAUGUCAGGGUUUUAAAUGUAUUCUAUGGAUUAGAAAAAUCUUAAUCUUCCUCAAACUCUAUCCCCCCAUCCCUUUUUAGCUUAAUUCUCAGGAAGAAAACCAGAAUCACAUUUUCUGAGGUACUUACAUUAGUUUAAAUUACAUGAGUAAAAACAAGCAAACAAAGAACCCCCCCAAAAAAAAAGGUCAUGAGGUUAAAAUGUCUUAACUUUUACGUCUGUGUGUAUAUGUACACUGUAUUACCAAAAGAGCAUAAAAUAAGCCUUUCUAUACUUUUUUCCUCUUUUCAAUACAUGAUCUAUCUACAGAAAAACAAUUUGGGGACUUUGCUAACACUCCAGGUAGCAUUUUCAGAUUAUUCUAUCAGGGAGUAUGAAAGCAUUAUCUGGUCUAAGAGCUUUGACAAGAGUUGUUUGAGUGCCAGCAGAAAGGACAUGAGUAACCAAGAUAUAUCAUUUACAAUGUGGCCUUUUUAUGACUCCUGUCAAGUUACAGCAUAAUCUCAAGAAAAUCAACAUCAUUUAAGGUUGCAAUGACCUUCUAAGGGCUUGCUUUUAAGACCAGAGGUUAGAAGGCAUAACGGUAUGAGUCACUGAAUAUGAUUGUACUGAAGCAAGUUUUAUAGAAUUCCAUUUUCUUUUAACUCUGCUUGUAAGUUCAGUGUCUAUUAUAUGAUUUUAAAAUAUUUUUGGAAAAUUAGAGAUCUUUGUUCAGAUGUCUCAACAUUUUUCUUUUCCAACUUGAUGUUCUGCAUAAACUUAAUAAAAGUAUACACAUAAUAUUAAAAUGUGAGCCUUUAAAAAUGGUUAAGAGACAAAAAAGGGAACCUCAACAUGAUAAGGAUAUGCUGAUUAACUUAAUAUACUCCACGUAUUAUGUGUUGCUAUGUUUUUCAUAAAUUUAAACAAAUAUCAUAGCUCAUCAAUAUAUGAAGGGAAGGUAUUUGGUGACAAAUCAGAAGACAGGGCAUUGAUUCAUAGUAACCUGACAAACCAGGUGACUUUUAUAACAUCUAAAAUGACCAACUAGGAAUGGUAGUACUCUAGAGCAAAGUUACAAUUUAUUUUAACUUCCGUGAGAGGUCAAGGCAAUACAGACAAAGCACACACAAUCUUUUCUUCUUGGAAAGCUUGAAAACGAAAGCUAUAUUCUGAAAAAAAUCAAUUUAGGAAAUAAAUAGAAGACUAGCAAAUAAUCCCAAGGAGAAAAUUACUAAAAUUUAGAAAUUAAGAUGUACCACAGAACACAUCAGAAAGGAAUGAAGAGAUGAAAACUAUUAAAAGUUGAAAGGCGAAGAACGGAUUGAGAAGCAUCAAUUUUAUUUAUAAGGAAUUUUCAAGGGAAGCAAUUAUUUAAAAAACUUAGGGAAAGAAAUAGUCAGAAAUGUUUGACAUUUUUCAGAAAUUGAAGAAAAUAUGUGAAUUCAUGGUAAAAAUUCAUCAAGAACAAGCUAAUUGAACAAAAAAUAAAGCAAUCACAUGUAGACAGAUCAUGGUCAAUGAAGACCCUUUAAUGUUUUUACAGAAAACUAACAGAAUAAUUCAUUUUUUAUAACCUAUGUCCCCAUCAUUUUCUAUAUAAACAUUAAUCAUUCUGUCUAUAUGGCUAACUUUAUACAUUUUUCCUAAUAUCCCUGGAAGCUAUGUCUUCACUUUUUGAAAUUCUAACCUUCCACUGUAUUUAAAAUGUUCAUUGGUUAUCUCAAGAAGAACUACUUUCCCUGCUGUAAUCACCUUCUGCUCCUCUUUUGUGAAUAUAUUUUAAUUACUUUCCUAACAUAUUAGCUUAUUAACCAAAGAAACACACUUAUAUUUUCAAAUUCUAUAUUUUUCCAGUGUUCUGUGUAUAGUAUACCCUCAGUAAACAUUUUUUAUAUAAAGCAAUAAAGGAAUGAACCAAGAUAAAGCUCUCCAGUUAUUCCCAGCAAUCAAAUAGGCUCUUACCUAAAUAUUUGCUUUAUUGGAAGACAUAGCAUUUUAAUACUUGGGAUAAAAAUAUCAUUGGAUGUCAUAAGUUUUAGUAAAAGUUGCUUAAUUAUAAUAAGUAAAAAGCAUCUUCCACAAAGAUGCUUGUACUUAGAGGGUUUGAGACAAAUAAGGAUUAAUAAAGUUUUCUUUAAGGCAAGUUAGACAAAGGAAAAAAAUUAUCUGUUUCCACCUCAGUAAUAUGAUUAGAUUUUCACUUAAUGCCAAAAAGGGAGAAAAUAACAUAAAUUCAUGUGCUUUGGGUUAAUAAUAACACAUUUCCUUAUAACAGAGAUUGAUAAAUGUUAGAAAUAAACAUUUUAAAUAAGGUUUCCUAUCAACAGAAACAUGAAAAAGGACUGACAUUCAUUUGUCCUGAAUUGUACUAGUGAGAUUCUGUGAGAUCUUGAGUAGGCUUUUUUUCUGAGCUACAAAUUAUCUAUGAUUACUUUCUGAGCUGUUAUCUUUUUGUUUCAUUCAUUCUGUUCAACUGGGGCCAUUCUUCAUUUCCCUGUUACCAUUUUACAUCAAGUUUGACCACUCUACUGAAAAUCAGUUUUCAUUUAUUGCUGCUAUUCCCUUCCCUGCCUUGACAUCAGGGGACAGUUUUAAGAACAAUUUUUUAAAAAUAGUCUAAUAAUUGUAGAAAAAAGGAAGCCUAUGUAUGAAUGUAUGCAUGCACGUAAGUAUCUAUGUAUAUAAUCAACCCAGAGGGAUUGAUAUGAAGAAUUUGGGGAGAUGAGUACUCUAGGUAUCAUAUUCUUCCUCCACAAACACUACAAGACAGGAAAAUACUUGUUUUUAAAUUAUUGGUAUUUUAUAAAUAUAUUUAAAUUGAUGUAGUAUUGUAUUGCACAAUGAGGAUUACAAAAACAUAGUAUUUGGCUGAUGAAAAAUUGUAUUUUAACUAUUAACUUUAAUUAAAAGUGAGAAUUUCCAAUACAUAUUCUUUAUAAAGCCGUAUAUGAACCCCAAAUAGCUCUUCAGAAAGAAUAAUAAUAAAUAAUUGCAUGAAAAAAGAAAGCAAAUGCUUGAAUUUUCACUUUCUGAAAUAACACAUAUAAAAAGUAAACAUUUCCAGCUCACAUCUGGUAAAGACGGAGAAAAUUAUUAUAGUGUUUGAUUUUAUGAGUGAUCAAAUUCUAAUUAGGUGGAGUUCCCAUAGUGGCUCAGCAGUAACCAACCUGACUAGGAUGACUAGGAUCCAUGCGGAUGCAUGAUUGAUCCCUGGUCUGGCUUUGCCACGAGCUGUGGUGUAGGUUGCAGACUUGGCUUGGAUCCCAAGUUGCUGUGUCUGUGGUGCAGGCUGGCAGCUACAGCUCUGAUUUGACCCCUAGUCUGGGAACUUCCAUAUGCCGUAGGUUUGG
RNAcentral lists this long non-coding RNA (3335 nucleotides) under Sus scrofa (pig). RNAcentral describes it as "lncRNA (ENSSSCG00000062347.1)". Lineage: Eukaryota; Metazoa; Chordata; Mammalia; Artiodactyla; Suidae. The record is from RNAcentral.